This 4928-nucleotide long non-coding RNA is filed under the name Ananas comosus (pineapple). RNAcentral's name for it is "long non-coding RNA (ACOM_LNC009293)". Lineage: Eukaryota; Viridiplantae; Streptophyta; Magnoliopsida; Poales; Bromeliaceae. The record is from RNAcentral.
CCUUCUGUAGACUUAGUGGGUGACCGAUGUUGUUUUGGGCGGUACCCACUGAGGACUACUUGUUUUUACAGUAGUUCUCACGCCCAGUUGUUACCUAUGUUUUUGCAGAGCCACAGGUUCCGGCUGCUGCACCGUCCGUGGAUCAGGAUCGAGGCAAGGGCGUCGCGAGUUAGAGCCCUACCCGACGUGCUGAGCUAGAGGUGCCCUACUGCAGGUAGAUGUUUUGUUUCGAGUUUGUGUACAUAGUUGACUUAACUCGCCAGUGCGAGUAGCUCUGUAUUUUGGAUCUGAACUAUGUAUAUGAAACUCUGUUUUAUUUAGCUUCUGUUUUCUCUAGCAGCUCUCUACUACUGUUUGUAGUAGUGUUUGAUAUACAGAGAAAAUCUCUUUGUAUACGGCGAAUUUGUCGGCGUGCCCGGGGAACGUGUAAUCCGGGGCGUGACACAUUGUUAUAUUUAUAAAUUUUGUAAUAUUUUUUAAUUUCACACAAUAUGAAUUGAAUUUUAAUUUAAAUUCGUGAGCUUUUUAUUAACUAAAGAAAUGGAAAUAUAAUUUGAAUUUAAUUAUGAAACUUGUUUAGGAAGAAAUUAAAGAUAAUGAAAAGGAAAACAAUUCGGCUGAGACUUUAAUAUCUUUAAUUAAAAAUGUAAAUCUAGCUAAAAAUUAAAUUGCUAAAAAAAAGAUAUAUUAGUAAUAGAAAAGAAAGAAAAAUUAAAAAUAUAUAUAUAUAUAUAUAUAUAUUAGUAAUAGAAAAGAAAGAAGAAUUUUAAAAAAAGAAAAUAUAUUAGCAAUAGAUAUAAGAGGAGAGAGACUAUUUACAUUGAUGUGUAUAUGAAUUGUCAACGCAUAGAUUGUCGAUCAUCGGUGACGUGCAUACUCUUAUAUCUUGACCACCGAUGACAUGUCGGUAGACCAUCAACAACGUUGACAUGAUUCGUGUACUUCUGUCGAUAUACAUGCAAUGUGAGGACGACGAUGUCAUGCUAGCAAAGAUGACAACAAAGUUCUGCCGGCGAAGAGGAGGAUAAAGAUGUGCCGGUGAAGGUGACGACAAUGAUGUGCCGGCGCCAGCAAGGACAACGAAUAUGUACAUGUACAAUAAACCAUAAUAGAAUAGGUGUGGAAGGAAUAAAAGAAAACACUUGAGAAUGCAGUGAUAAAUACAAAGGUGGCAGGUAUUAUGUGUAAUUAUAUAAGAUUGGAAUAAGAAUAAGAAGAUUGUUGAGAAAUGAGUAGGUAUUAAAAUUAUGAUGAGAUGGUAGGUAGCUAAGUGUCACUCGUCCGAAAGGAGAUUUAGAUUAAAAGUAUCAAAAUUUUAAUUUAUUUUUAAUUCAACAUGUCACAUCUAAUUUUAAAUUAAAUUUAUAUUUACAUUUUAAAUUUUAAAUCGUUAAUGGAGGUGUAUGUCUAUUAUUAAAUUAUUUUUUUCUAACUUUAAUUUAUCUCUAAAUAAGUUUUAUAUAUUUAUAAUUAAUUAAUACUAUAAGUAUUUUUCAUAUGUAUUUCAUAAUAUUUGAAAAAAUGUGCGCAUUAUGUUAGAAAGGAUUAGCAGCUAUGUCACAAAGAAAACAUUUAAAAGGAUAUUACUAAAAAAAUAUAUAUACUAAAAUAGUAUAAAUGUAUAUUAAAAAAAUAAAAAAUUUUCAGGUAGGAUCAAAAUACCUAUGGCGAAGGUAACGAAGGCGACAAUGUGUCGGCACCGGUAAUGACGAUAACGAUGAGGAGAACGAUGAUCAUGUACCAGUGCCGGCAAUGGUGACGAAUGAAAAAGGAUGUACUAAAAAAAAUAUUUGAGAAUAUUUAAGAAAAUGUAGAUAAAAAUGAAAAAGAAUAUUACUGAAGAAAAUAUAUGCUUUAUAUUUGAUAAACGUAUACGUAAAAAUAAGAAAAUACCAAAAAAAAUAUGCUAAAAUAAUAUAAAUGUACAUUAAAAAACGAAAAAUUUUCAGGUGAGAUUGAAAUACCUCUCCAACUUUGACGAAAAUGGCAAAAGUGAUAAUGUGUCGGUGUCGACGAUGACGAUGUGCUACGAUGUACUGGUGCUAGCGAUGGGAACAACGAUGUACUAGUGCUAGCGAUGGGUUCAAAUGAGAAAAGAUAUUACUAAAAAAAUAUUUGAGAAGAAUAUAGGUGAAAAUAAAAAAGAUAUUAUUAAAAAAAUAUCUCAAAAAAAUAUAUUCUGUGUGUGAAUAAAUAUUAUAAUGAGAUAAGAUUGGAUAGUAUAGAUAUUAUAUACAAAGACAUAUAGAUAUUAUAUGCGAGUGCAUUAAGAUAUGCUCUGUAUUUGAGAAACGCGUAAAAUAUUUUGGCGGGCAUUACUUUUGAAUAAUUUACUAAAAAAAUUCAAAAAUUUAAAAUUAUAUUUAACUAACAAUUUAGUUUUGCUUAGGUGGGUAUUAAAUCUUUCUAGCAAUAUUCUAUGUGAUUGGCGUAGAUAUUACGUGUAAAAAAGAAAUUAUUUGAGUAACACGUAAAUAGGAGAUAAUGGAUAUUUUAAUUUAUGGCAGAUAUUACGUUUGAGAAAACGCGUAGAUAGGAUAAAUUUAAUUUUAUUUAUUAUGUGAUGGAUAUUUUAAUUUAUGGCGGGUAUUACGUUUGAGAAAAUGCGUAGAUAGGAUAAAUUUAACUUUAUUUAUUAUGUGAUUGGCGCUAUUACGUGAAGUAUCCCUAGUGUUUGGUUGCCCGUAAGUUUUCAGCAUCUGAGACUUGUCAACACAUCUGGAGAGUGUCGGGACAGGUCAGAGUCGUUUUGGCGCGAAACGGACGCAAAACAGACUCAGUGCGACGCGAAAGCAGAGUUUGACAUUGAAAUCUACAAAGUGUAGGUUUUCAGUAUUCAGUAUCGGUACCAUACAGGGGAGUACCGAUACCCCAGUGUAUUCUCCGAACUGCUGCUCUAGGGUUGCGAUAAUUGAUGCUGAGUACCAGUACAGCAUCGAGCUGGUACCGGUACUCCAGCUGGGAUGUUGAGUUGGUGAGGAGUAGAAUGGUCUUUUUGGUUGGUGGAUAAACAUACCACCCACUCCCUCUUUAUAUUUAUCCACCUCAUCUGCCGAGAAGGGUAAUUAUCCUUUUUCCUCUCUCUCCAGUUUUAAUUGUGUGCUUAGGGAAGGCCACGGCUUAAGCUCGGAUCGACGUCGACGUUGCGCCAGGAAGCCGUUCAAGCGCGUGGAUGUCGCGGUUGCGUCGUUGGAGGCCGGGCGAGCGCGUGUUUUCCCUUCUCUCGACUUCUCGCCACAGUUGGACUAGCUUUUCGAGGUGGGUUGAAGUUUACUGAAAUCACCAGAACAUCUUCUAAGUUUUUAUAUCGUCAACAUAUAUCAUGUGUUUAAUUUCUUGCUAGUACUCAAAUUCAUGGAUUAUGCUUAAAAUAUGAAUUUGGAGUUAAGUAGUAGUAGUAUAAUUUUACAUGUUGAACAUGGAAUUGACUUAGGAGAAAAUUGUAGAUCCUACACUGUCAGUUUCUGAAAACUAUCAGAUUUAGCUUUAGGAGCUGUGGUUUAUGUGUAUUGCCACAGUUUGUAUGCAGUAGAUACCCAAAUUAGUGUAGGAUGGGUUUAUGCUCGUGCUGGGAUGCCGAGUUUUCUACAAUAGUGUGUAGACUGUUUCCGGUUGACGGGUACCGUCGCGGUUGACGGUGGACCCAGAUUUCUGUAUUUGCAUCAAAUUGUGUCAAGAGCACGUGAGCUUUGAUUGUUAGAUUUAUUUGCUUUAAUUAUAGCCUGUGAGAGCCUGAUUGAGAUCAGCAGAGACACGCUUGCAUACUCGGUUGGGUAGCGCCCACGUGUGCCACUCCGAAGUCUGGUUUGUGCUUUUGCGUUGUUGUCGCAGCAGUCCUGUUUGGACGGUGCUUUAGGACCGGCCACCUCAAUGGUGGUGUGCGGUAUAGCUCAGACGCAGGCGGGACGGACCUAUUGGCAGUCCCUUGACAGUCCCUUGACAGUAUAGUCGUUGUUGCAGGGGAUGCAUAUCUACAGAUAGCUAAAGUUGGUUAGUGAUAGUAUAUGGGCAUAUAACUGUAGGGUUUCUAGCUUUUCUUACUAUCUCCUGCAUACCUGUCUGUAGACUUAGUGGGUGAGCCGUUGAGGUCAGUAGCGGUACACACUAAGAACUACUUCUUUUUGCAGUAGUUUCCACACCCAGUUGUUUACCCCUUUUUGCAGAGCCUCCUUCUGCGGCUGCUGCUGUCGUCGAUACUUAUCGUGGAAAGGGAGUUGCGAGCUAGAUCUCUUCCCUGAUUGCAGUUCUAGAGGAGUACCAUCUACAGGUAGUUUUGAGUUUUUGGUUCAUGUACAUACUUGCUGGUACUCGCUGGAGUAAGUGAUGUCGGUAUUUAGGAGACUAUGUAUCUAUAGUGAACUUGAUGUUUAUCUAUAUAUGUUUACAGUUCUGUUAGCAGCUCCAUACUACUAGUUAUAGUUUUGUAACAUUACAGGUACAGGUACAGCUAUCGCUUCAUAUAUAGAAAAAAAUUCUUUUAUAUACGGCGGGUCUGUUAGCGUGCCCGGAAAAACGUGGUAAUUCGGGGUGUGACAUUACGUGUGAGAAACAAAAUAUUUAAGAAACGCCAGCCGUAGAUAGGAUAUAACGAAUAUUUUAAAUUAUGACGGGAAUUACGUUUGAGAAAACGCGUAGAUAUUUGUAAAACGCGUACAUAUGAGAUAAUGGAUAUUGAGAGUAUUUUCGUCAAGAAAAGUGACAAAUACUUUUAUUUUUAAUCGUUGAAUGAGAUCGAAUGGUAAAAACUUAAGAUCUCUAUUUGAAAAUAAAUUAUUAUUUAAAAAAUUAUUUGAAACGAAUGGUUGAUAAUCACUGAACAUGAAAAUAUUAGUAGAAAAGAUAGAGAUAUUUUUGAAAAGGGAAAAAAAUUUAAAACACAUGCUUUUAUAAGUAAUAUAGAUAACUAUUUUGUCCAUAAUUAAUGUUUA